UACGUAGGCAGCAAGCGUUGUUCGGAAUUACUGGGCGUAAAGCGUGCGUAGGCGGUUGGCUAAGUUUGGUGUGAAAUCUCCCGGCUUAACUGGGAGGGUGCGCCGAAAACUGGCCGGCUGGAGUGCGGGAGAGGGAAGUGGAAUUCCUGGUGUAGCGGUGAAAUGCGUAGAUAUCAGGAGGAACACCUGUGGUGUAGACGGCUUCCUGGACCGUGACUGACGAUGAGGCACGAAAGCGUGGGGAGCAAACAGG
This 253-nucleotide ribosomal RNA is filed under the name uncultured bacterium. RNAcentral's name for it is "partial 16S ribosomal RNA". It matches the Rfam family "Bacterial small subunit ribosomal RNA", at positions 524 to 776 of the family's 1533-position model. The record is from RNAcentral.